GCACCAGUGGUGUAGUGGUAUCAUGCAAGAUUCCCAUUCUUGUGACCUGGGUUCGAUUCCCGGCUGGUGCA
Non-coding RNA from Tauraco erythrolophus (red-crested turaco), 71 nucleotides. The record is from Rfam. NCBI's taxonomy places the organism in Eukaryota, Metazoa, Chordata, Aves, Musophagiformes, Musophagidae.